This 2837-nucleotide ribosomal RNA is filed under the name Metchnikovella dogieli. Its description in RNAcentral is "large subunit ribosomal RNA". The record is from RNAcentral. Lineage: Eukaryota; Fungi; Microsporidia; Metchnikovellidae.
AAACGCCAUCAGUGGAUCACUUGGUUUCUACGUCGAGGAAGAACGCAGCUAAGUGCGAUAAGCAGGGGGCAUUGCAUAUUCCCUGGUGUUCGAAUGGUGCAAAUCAAGGCGAGUGUUUACAGGAUUGUAGACGAAAGCGAUCAUUGAAGAAGGACAGGCACCGAGGCGACCCGCUGGACUUAAGCAUAUCAGUAAGCGGAGGAAAGGAAAUCAACAGAGACGCCCUCAGUAGCGGCGAGCGAAGAGGGCCGAGCCCGAUUGGAAAUCUCAUUUGAAAUCUCAUUUGAGAAGUUGUAAGAGCGCAAGACACGGGCCGAAGAUGCUGGAAGGCGUCGCCGCAGAGGGUGAGAGUCCCGUAGGGGCGUGUCUGCUUGUGGGAGAGUAGUGCUUCCUGGAACGGAAGUGCGAAGGGGUGAGCGAGACAUCCAAGGCUAAGUAGGGGUAGAGGACCGAUAGCGCAGAAGUACCGUGAGGGAAAGUUGACAAGAACCUCGAGAGGGGAGUGAAAAGAUGUGAAACUGGUGGCGGGGAAUGGCUGGCGCUUUUGCGGGCGUGAGCCGCCCGUCUUGUAACACGGACCAAGGAGAGUUCCAGGGCAUCGAGUCUUUUGGGGCGGAAUAGCGAUAGAUGGGAGAUGUUUUGGGACGACCCGAAAGACGGUGAUCUAUUCCGGGACAGGGUGAAGCCGGAGGAAACGCUGGUGGAGGCCCGAAGACGUUCUAAUGUGCAAAUUGAUGUUUUGAUUUUGGAAUAGGGGCGAAAGACCAAUCGAACCGUCUGGUAGCUGGUUCCAGCCGAAAUGUCUCGCAGGAUAGCGGCGCGGGGGUCUGGCGUGUGCUGUAGAGGACUGAUGGCAGAGAGCGGGGGCAACCUUGUGCUGGCGUCAAACUGCGAAAGCGCACGCAGUUCCGUGUUAGUGGGCCGGGGCUGGUAAGCAGCCAUGGCGAUGCGGAUUGAACCGAGAAGGGGGCUAAGGGGCCAAAGCAACAGACAUGAAGGCGUGGCGCGCAUUGAGACAGCAGGGAGAUGGCCAUGGAGGUUGGCAGUCUGUAAGGAGUGUGUCACAACCCACCUGCCGAAUGCGGAGCCGGCCGAAAAUGGAAGGCACGGGUUGCAGCCGAUGCCCCCUUUUUUGAGGAGUGGAUGUGAUGGAUGGUGCUUUGGGGGUAUUUCUAGAAGGACCCUUGUGGGAGUUUGUAGUGGUAGCCUUUGAGUGUUGUGCAGCAUCGACGGCUUGAAAAGGUAGGCUGGCGUGUUCUUGUGGGAGAAGGGCUGCGGCGAUGCAGGCUGGACAUUAGAGCAGUGCAGAUCUUGGAGGGAGUAGCAAGGAGUCACAUGAGGACACAUGAGCAGGGUUCCGCGGAGCUGAGAGACAGCCGUGGGUGAUGCGUUCCUAAGCAUAUCGCGAAGGGAAGCGGGGCGAUGUUCCCGCGGGGUUCUAUGAUGUGGCAACACAUGGCGCGGCCUGAGCAGUGGACGAACCGGUUGCGGAGAGCGGAGCCGCAAGACUUAAGAAAAGUUUGAGCGUUGGGCUGAGAGAACGUUUUUUUGGGUAAGUUGCUGUCUUGAAAAGGGGCGAGCCGGGGGUAGAAACAGCGUACCGAAACCGCAACAGGGCUCAAGGGAUCGGACCGGUGUUUGCGGAGAAUGUGUGUAAGGGAAGUCGGCAAGCUGGGCCUGUAACUUUGGGAGAAGGGGUGGCUCGGACCAUUUUUGGACACGAACUGUCGAGGCGGGGAAUCCGACUGUUUAAUAGAAACAUAGCGUUGCGAGAGUGUGCUAAAGUGAUGCGACGUGAGUUCUGCCCAGUGCUCGGCCGGUCAAGACGGCGAGGGCCGUGGACGCACGGGUAAACGGCGGGAGUAACUAUGACUCUCUUAAGGUAGCCAAAUGCCUCGUCAUCUAAUUAGUGACGUGCAUGAAUGGAUCAGCGAGAUUCCCACUGUCCCUAUGCACAGCGCGGCGAAACCACAGCCAAGGGAACGGGCUUGGCGAUGCCAGCGGGGAAAGAAGACCCUGUUGAGCUUGACUCCAGCGUGCCCUGCUGGACGUGGGCCUCGGACUAGCAAGCAGGCAGUGCUUGGCACGCAAGUGUUUUGCACGAGCAUGGAAAACCUGCACGGGGCCUGACGUGCGGCUGACCUUUUGGGAAGCGGGGAUGUGGGGAGUUUGGCUGGGGCGGCACGGCUGCGAAACGAUAGCGCAGGCGUCCUAAGGUUGUCUCCGCGUGGGGCGAAACCACGUUUUGAGCACAAGGACACAAGACAGCCUGACGAUGCCGUGGCGGCGUCGAUGCGAAAGCAGGGCCUAGAGAUCCUUCGCGGCAGCUUUUGUGUGCGGAGGUGACGGAAAAGUUACCACAGGGAUAACUGGCUUGUGGCGGCCAAGCGUCCAUAGCGACGCCGCCUUUUGAUUCUUCGAUGUCGGCUCUUCCUAUCAUUGCGUUGCAGCGGGCGCAAAGUGUUGGAUUGUUCACCCACUAACAGGGAACGUGAGCUGGGUUUAGACCGUCGUGAGACAGGUUAGUCUUACCCUACUGGCGUGCGCCGACGGCAGGGUGGCAUAGUACGAGAGGAACGGCCAGCCGCUGCCGCUGGUUGGGCGUCUGUGCCGCAGUGCAGAUGCGCAGCUACGCAGGACGGAGAAGCACUGGUAGCGUCUAAGUGCGGAGACGUGCCGGCGGCGCCGACGUGCAAGCAUGCGACUUGCCACAACCCUGGUGUACGGMGCAAGCUGUGCGAGCUCCUGAGCCAAGGGCCUUUCACACCCCUUAUCAUUUUAUUUUUCCAGCGUUUUUACUGGCGUCGCUCACUGCGUUCACUCUGGUACCUGGCUUG